This 465-nucleotide ribosomal RNA is filed under the name uncultured bacterium. Its description in RNAcentral is "partial 16S ribosomal RNA". It matches the Rfam family "Bacterial small subunit ribosomal RNA", at positions 339 to 795 of the family's 1533-position model. The record is from RNAcentral.
CUACGGGGUGCUGCAGUGAGGAAUUUUGCGCAAUGGGGGGAACCCUGACGCAGCAACGCCGCGUGAGUGAAGAAGGCCUUUGGGUCGUAAAGCUCUGUCAAUUGGGAAGAAGUUACAAUUGUUUAACAGAUGAUUGUAUUGACGGUACCAAUGGAGGAAGCGCCGGCUAACUCCGUGCCAGCAGCCGCGGUAACACGGGGGGCGCAAGCGUUAUUCGGAAUUAUUGGGCGUAAAGGGCGCGUAGGCGGUCUUGUCGGUCAGAUGUGAAAGCCCGGGGCUCAACCCCGGACGUGCAUUUGAAACAGCAAGACUUGAGUACGGGAGAGGAAAGCGGAAUUCCUGGUGUAGAGGUGAAAUUCGUAGAUAUCAGGAGGAACACCGAUGGCGAAGGCAGCUUUCUGGACCGAUACUGACGCUGAGGCGCGAAGGCGUGGGUAGCGAACAGGAUUAGAUACCCUCGUAGUC